Molecule: long non-coding RNA, 437 nt
Organism: Sapajus apella (tufted capuchin)
Lineage: Eukaryota; Metazoa; Chordata; Mammalia; Primates; Cebidae
Exons: 2
Source: RefSeq, a predicted model, not a curated record
GAAGGCCCCAAGUGACCAGGGAACACAAAUCUCCUCUGUGUGCCCAUCCUCAAGCCCAUGCAGCAUCCACCCUGCCCAGGAGGGGCUCGGCCCCAACCCAGGACCCAGAACUUCUGAUGGUCACUGAUGAUGGUCACAGCGGGGCAGUGGAGCAGGGCCUGGAGAGCAGGGAGCAUAGGAAUGCAAUGAUCAAGAUGAUCUGGAAUGAGGAGGGAGCAGAAGGCAAGGCUCGGAGUGAGACCAGGGUCAGGGCUCCGUGCAGACUUCCACGACUGGCUUUGUAUCAGAAUCACUUUGCUUCUCAGCCAUGGCCCAUGGGUCACACAGCCCUCAAUGGCCAUGCCGAUGCUGGUCACAGCAUUCCCUAGUCCUGCAGACUCGGACACUAAAACAAUCAAUUCCCCUGAGCAAUAAAAUUACGGACGGUGAACAUGUUU